GAUUCUAACUUAGCUAAGCAAUGCUACUGGAGACCAUAGGCAAAGCCAAGGUACAGCUUCAGGGAAGUCUUUGGUGACCCCAUCUCUCAUUACCAAGGUAACGAAGCGCAGACUCCGGGCCUGGGUGGGCGGCAUCACCACCAGGUUCACGCCGAGAAGGAGCUGGAGGAGAGCCGCCCGGCUCCAGCCGGACCGCUUGCCCGCCAUCACCGUUGUAAUCUAUGCAGCAAACAAGCUGGAACCCGCUGGGUGGCACCUGCAAGCAGCCGCCCGGACGCACCCACUCUGCGGUGGAGCUGUGGAAGCCAGGCGCACAGGAUGCAAGCAGCCAGGCCCAGGGAGGCAGCAGCUGCAUCCUCAGAGAGGAAGCCAGGAUGCCCCACUCUGCCGGGGGUACUGCAGGGGUGGGGCUGGAGGCUGCAGAGCCCACAGCCCUGCUCACCAGGGCAGAGCCCCCUUCAGAACCCACAGAGAUCCGUCCACAAAAGCGGAAAAAGGGGCCAGCCCCCAAAAUGCUGGGGAACGAGCUAUGCAGCGUGUGUGGGGACAAGGCCUCGGGCUUCCACUAUAAUGUUCUGAGCUGCGAGGGCUGCAAGGGAUUCUUCCGCCGCAGCGUCAUCAAGGGAGCGCACUACAUCUGCCACAGUGGCGGCCACUGCCCCAUGGACACCUACAUGCGUCGCAAGUGCCAGGAGUGUCGGCUUCGCAAAUGCCGUCAGGCUGGCAUGCGGGAGGAGUGUGUCCUGUCAGAAGAACAGAUCCGCCUGAAGAAACUGAAGCGGCAAGAGGAGGAACAGGCUCAUGCCACAUCCUUGCCCCCCAGGGCUUCCUCACCCCCCCAAAUCCUGCCCCAGCUCAGCCCGGAGCAACUGGGCAUGAUCGAGAAGCUGGUCGCUGCCCAGCAACAGUGUAACCGGCGCUCCUUUUCUGACCGGCUUCGAGUCACGCCUUGGCCCAUGGCACCAGAUCCCCAUAGCCGGGAGGCCCGUCAGCAGCGCUUUGCCCACUUCACUGAGCUGGCCAUCGUGUCUGUGCAGGAGAUAGUUGACUUUGCUAAACAGCUACCCGGCUUCCUGCAGCUCAGCCGGGAGGACCAGAUUGCCCUGCUGAAGACCUCUGCGAUCGAGGUGAUGCUUCUGGAGACAUCUCGGAGGUACAACCCUGGGAGUGAGAGUAUCACCUU
Molecule: small RNA, 1183 nt
Filed under: Pan troglodytes (chimpanzee)
Lineage: Eukaryota; Metazoa; Chordata; Mammalia; Primates; Hominidae
Description: processed transcript
Source: RNAcentral